RNAcentral lists this long non-coding RNA (420 nucleotides) under Capsicum annuum. RNAcentral describes it as "long non-coding RNA (CANN_LNC016939)". The record is from RNAcentral. Lineage: Eukaryota; Viridiplantae; Streptophyta; Magnoliopsida; Solanales; Solanaceae.
UUUGGUUUUCUCUGAGGGAAUUGCUUCGACUGGUUUUAGACAGACAAUAGAGACGACUUUCAGGUGGAUUAGACCAGAGAAGAUCAAGAAUUUUGGCGAAUUAUUCGCCGAAAAAUCUCACCUAAGCUGUGGUUUUUCUCCUCUAUUUUACCAUCCCGUUUUCAAUCUUCUUCUUUCAUCUCCCUCUCUCAGAUUCUCUCUCUUCUCCUCUCCUUUCUCACAUCUCUCCCUCGAUUUUUCCCUCUGUGUGUGUAUUCUAGUGUGGGGUAUAAAUUGUGAAGGGAAUCUUUGUUGUUUUCUUUGGUGAGGUCUACUAAUGGAGAGGGGCGAGAGGAUGAGUAGUUGAGAGUGUGUGUAUAUUGAAUAUUUUUUGUUUCCAGUGGGUGUAGAAUGUUGUAGUGAGUGGAAUUCCUCUCCAAG